GCAUGGCAGACGGGUGAGUAACGCGUGGGGAAUCUACCUCUUUGUGGGGAAUAACGCUCCGAAAGGAGUGGUAAUACCGCAUGAGAUCCAUGGCUGGGAUGCUGUGGAUGAAACCUGGGGACCGCAAGGCCUGGGGCAAGGAGAGGAUCCUGCGUCUGAUUAGCUAGUUGGUGAGGUAAUGGCCCACCAAGGCGACGAUCAGUAGCCGGCCUGAGAGGGUGAUCGGCCACACUGGAACUGAGACACGGUCCAGACUCCUACGGGAGGCAGCAGUGGGGAAUUUUGCGCAAUGGGCGAAAGCCUGACGCAGCAACGCCGCGUGGGUGAUGAAGGUCUUCGGAUCGUAAAACCCUGUCGUCGGGGACGAAGGUGGAGGGGUUAAUAGCCUCUUUGCUUGACGGUACCCGGAGAGGAAGCCCCGGCUAACUCUGUGCCAGCAGCCGCGGUAAUACAGAGGGGGCAAGCGUUAUUCGUAAUUAUUGGGCGUAAAGGGCGCGUAGGCGGCUUUUUAAGUGAGAUGUGUAAUCCCUGAGCUCAACUUGGGAACUGCAUCUCAUACUGGGAGGCUAGAGUACUGGAGAGGGUGGUAGAAUUCCACGUGUAGCGGUGAAAUGCGUAGAGAUGUGAAGGAAUACCAGUGGCGAAGGCGGCCACCUGGACAGUAACUGACGCUGAGGCGCGAAAGUGUG
Molecule: ribosomal RNA, 689 nt
Filed under: uncultured bacterium
Lineage: Bacteria
Description: bacterial SSU rRNA
Rfam family: Bacterial small subunit ribosomal RNA
Source: RNAcentral